GGGCCGAUAGAUCAGUGGAAGAUCGCCUGCUUUGCAAGCAGGAGGUCAGGGGUUCAAAUCCCCUUCGGUCCA
Molecule: transfer RNA, 72 nt
Filed under: Thermoplasmata archaeon
Lineage: Archaea; Methanobacteriati; Thermoplasmatota; Thermoplasmata
Also listed under: 4 other names
Description: tRNA-Ala
Rfam family: tRNA
About the family: Transfer RNA (tRNA) molecules are approximately 80 nucleotides in length. Their secondary structure includes four short double-helical elements and three loops (D, anti-codon, and T loops).
Source: RNAcentral